Long non-coding RNA from Pseudopipra pipra, 798 nucleotides. RefSeq lists it as uncharacterized. The transcript is spliced from 2 exons. The record is from RefSeq and is a predicted model, not a curated record. Lineage: Eukaryota; Metazoa; Chordata; Aves; Passeriformes; Pipridae.
UGGGGUCCUUUGAGAGAAAAUAAAGGGGGGGAGAUGGAGGUUAAUCCACAAAGGAUCAGGCAAAGCUGCCUGCAUCACAACCUCUGUUUUCAGGCAGAGGUGGCAUCUGCAAUACAUACUCCUUUUGCACAGGAUGUGCCCUCAGCUAUUCACUGCAGUAGGAAGAGGACUCAGAAACAAGCCAUGAUGAACAUUAUACCCAAAGAAUACAAUAUAGAAGAUGUGCCUCUCCUGUUGGCAGAGCCCGAGGAAUUUCAGGCUUGAAAACAAGUGGCCACAAGCUUCCCUGACCAUGCAGCAAGGCUCUGGAUACUCAUCCCCUCCACCCAAGGGCUUCAUGAAGCCACAGACCCAGAGAAGGACAAAAAGCAGCAUCCAGCCCUGACAGCGAGCUGAGCCCCCCCAUCCUCCCACAAAAAGCAGACAGCAGUGCACAAAAAGACUGGAAAAAGUCGCAGGAAGCUUACCCUUCCACAGCACCGACAGCUCCCCACAGAGUCAGCUGGCACAGAUUUCCUCCUGCUGCUGCCCUGCUGGGAUAUAAGGUCUGGUUUUGCCCCCCCCAAGCCAAGUCACCGCCCUGCCCGGAGUGACGCAGCCCACCGCCGUGCACCAGAAAACCCCAAAAACUUCAGCGCUGGCAGAUUUGGUGCACAAACACAGCGCCCCGUGCCGCUGCCAAACCUGGGGAGGUUUGCACUGCGCCGCCUAAUUGAGGGUCUGGCCUCAGAGGAACGGCCAUGAGGCCGAGGGUAUAAUAACACUCUUGGCUUAAAUUAAAAUAAAUAUUGGGAAAUC